Candidatus Staskawiczbacteria bacterium is the source of this 74-nucleotide non-coding RNA. The record is from Rfam. Lineage: Bacteria; Candidatus Staskawicziibacteriota.
GGGCGGUUAGCUCAAUUUGGUAGAGCGCGAAAUUGACGUUUUCGAUGUUAUAGGUUCGAGUCCUAUACCGCCCA